Molecule: ribosomal RNA, 440 nt
Filed under: uncultured bacterium
Lineage: Bacteria
Description: partial 16S ribosomal RNA
Rfam family: Bacterial small subunit ribosomal RNA
Source: RNAcentral
CCUACGGGGGGCAGCAGUGGGGAAUAUUGCACAAUGGGGGAAACCCUGAUGCAGCGACGCCGCGUGAGUGAAGAAGUAAUUCGUUAUGUAAAGCUCUAUCAGCAGGGAAGAAAAUGACGGUACCUGAGUAAGAAGCCCCGGCUAACUACGUGCCAGCAGCCGCGGUAAUACGUAGGGGGCAAGCGUUAUCCGGAUUUACUGGGUGUAAAGGGAGCGUAGACGGCAGUGCAAGUCUGGAGUGAAAGGCGGGGGCUCAACCCCCGGACUGCUCUGGAAACUGUACGGCUGGAGUGCAGGAGAGGUAAGUGGAAUUCCUAGUGUAGCGGUGAAAUGCAUAGAUAUUAGGAGGAACACCAGUGGCGAAGGCGACUUGCUGGACUGAAACUGACGCUGAGGCUCGAAAGCGUGGGGAGCAAACAGGAUUAGAUACCCUAGUAGUC